ACGUAGGGAGCGAGCGUUGUCCGGAAUUACUGGGUGUAAAGGGAGCGUAGGCGGGAUCGCAAGUCAGAUGUGAAAACUAUGGGCUUAACCCAUAAACUGCAUUUGAAACUGUGGUUCUUGAGUGAAGUAGAGGUAAGCGGAAUUCCUAGUGUAGCGGUGAAAUGCGUAGAUAUUAGGAGGAACAUCAGUGGCGAAGGCGGCUUACUGGGCUUUAACUGACGCUGAGGCUCGAAAGCGUGGGGAGCAAACAG
RNAcentral lists this ribosomal RNA (251 nucleotides) under uncultured bacterium. RNAcentral's name for it is "partial 16S ribosomal RNA". It matches the Rfam family "Bacterial small subunit ribosomal RNA", at positions 525 to 775 of the family's 1533-position model. The record is from RNAcentral.